Molecule: ribosomal RNA, 371 nt
Filed under: uncultured organism
Description: partial 16S ribosomal RNA
Rfam family: Bacterial small subunit ribosomal RNA
Source: RNAcentral
GUAGGUGGCAAGCGUUGUCCGGAAUUAUUGGGCGUAAAGCGCGCGCAGGCGGUUCUUUAAGUCUGAUGUGAAAGCCCACGGCUCAACCGUGGAGGGUCAUUGGAAACUGGAGAACUUGAGUACAGAAGAGGAAAGCGGAAUUCCACGUGUAGCGGUGAAAUGCGUAGAGAUGUGGAGGAACACCAGUGGCGAAGGCGGCUUUCUGGUCUGUAAUUGACGCUGAGGCGCGAAAGCGUGGGGGAGCAAACAGGAUUAGAUACCCUGGUAGUCCACGCCGUAAACGAUGAGUGCUAAGUGUUAGGGGGUUUCCGCCCCUUAGUGCUGCAGCUAACGCAUUAAGCACUCCGCCUGGGAGUACGGCCGCAAGGCUG